UACGUAGGUGGCAAGCGUUGUCCGGAUUUACUGGGCGUAAAGAGCGCGCAGGCGGUCGUUCAAGUCGCGUGUGAAAGCCCCCGGCUCAACUGGGGAGGGUCACGCGAUACUGAUCGACUCGAAGGCAGGAGAGGGUAGUGGAAUUCCCGGUGUAGUGGUGAAAUUCGUAGAUAUUCGGAAGAACACCAGUGGCGAAGGCGACUCACUGGACAUGUAUUGACGCUGAGGUACGAAAGCGUGGGGAGCAAACAGG
RNAcentral lists this ribosomal RNA (253 nucleotides) under uncultured bacterium. RNAcentral's name for it is "partial 16S ribosomal RNA". It matches the Rfam family "Bacterial small subunit ribosomal RNA", at positions 524 to 776 of the family's 1533-position model. The record is from RNAcentral.